RNAcentral lists this ribosomal RNA (594 nucleotides) under Oerskovia sp. B6. RNAcentral describes it as "bacterial SSU rRNA". It matches the Rfam family "Bacterial small subunit ribosomal RNA", at positions 8 to 608 of the family's 1533-position model. The record is from RNAcentral. Lineage: Bacteria; Bacillati; Actinomycetota; Actinomycetes; Micrococcales; Cellulomonadaceae.
CAGAGUUUGAUCCUGGCUCAGGACGAACGCUGGCGGCGUGCUUAACACAUGCAAGUCGAACGCUGAAGCACUGUGCUUGCACGGUGUGGAUGAGUGGCGAACGGGUGAGUAACACGUGAGUAACCUGCCCCUGACUUCGGGAUAAGCUUGGGAAACUGGGUCUAAUACCGGAUGUGACUACUGGCCGCAUGGUCUGGUGGUGGAAAGGGUUUACUGGUUGGGGAUGGACUCGCGGCCUAUCAGUGUUGUUGGUGGGGUAGUGGCCUACCAAGACGACGACGGGUAGCCGGCCUGAGAGGGCGACCGGCCACACUGGGACUGAGACACGGCCCAGACUCCUACGGGAGGCAGCAGUGGGGAAUAUUGCACAAUGGGGGGAACCCUGAUGCAGCGACGCCGCGUGCGGGAUGACGGCCUUCGGGUUGUAAACCGCUUUCAGUAGGGAAGAAGCGAAAGUGACGGUACCUGCAGAAGAGUACCGGCUAACUACGUGCCAGCAGCCGCGGUAAUACGUAGGGUACAAGCGUUGUCCGGAAUUAUUGGGCGUAAAGAGCUCGUAGGUGGUUGGUCGCGUCUGCUGUGGAAACGCAACGC